UGCUCGACCAUGAACCCCGAAUAGGCCCCCAACAUGCCACAUUCCGCCAGAGAACUACACGCACAAAGCCAGAAACUCCAAGGACUUGACGGUGUCCUAACACCCUAGAGGAGCCUGUCCCACAAUCGAUACUCCGCGCUCAACCUUACCCCCCCUAGCACGAACAACCUGUAUACCGCCGUCGCAAGCCUACCCUAUGAAGAAGCCACAGUGGGCAAAAUAGCACCACCCCUAAUACGUCAGGUCAAGGUGCAGUUAAUGGGGGGGCCGUGAUGGGCUACACUCUUUAAACUAAAGCCCCGCAGGCGCGCCAUGAAACAUGCCCCCAAAGAAGGAUUUAGCAGUAAGUUUAACAAGAGUGUUAAAUUGAAGUCACGCCCUAGGACGCGUACAC
RNAcentral lists this ribosomal RNA (394 nucleotides) under Gonatodes taniae. RNAcentral's name for it is "partial 12S ribosomal RNA". The stretch from base 50 to 394 matches the Rfam family "Bacterial small subunit ribosomal RNA", at positions 875 to 1388 of the family's 1533-position model. Lineage: Eukaryota; Metazoa; Chordata; Lepidosauria; Squamata; Sphaerodactylidae. The record is from RNAcentral.